This 508-nucleotide ribosomal RNA is filed under the name uncultured Glomeromycotina. RNAcentral's name for it is "SSU rRNA". It matches the Rfam family "Eukaryotic small subunit ribosomal RNA", at positions 569 to 1078 of the family's 1831-position model. Lineage: Eukaryota; Fungi; Glomeromycota. The record is from RNAcentral.
AGCAGCCGCGGUAAUUCCAGCUCCAAUAGCGUAUAUUAAAGUUGUUGCAGUUAAAAAGCUCGUAGUUGAAUUUCGGGAUCAGCAGGUUGGUCGUGCCUCUGGUAUGCACUGGUUUCGCUGAUUCCUCCUUUCUGAAGAACUGUAAUGUCAUUAAUUUGGUGUUGCAGGGAAACAGGACUGUUACUUUGAAAAAAUUAGAGUGUUUAAAGCAAGCUAACGCUUGAAUACAUUAGCAUGGAAUAAUGAAAUAGGACGUUUGAUCCUAUUUUGUUGGUUUCUAGGAUUGACGUAAUGAUUAAUAGGGAUAGUUGGGGGCAUUAGUAUUCAAUUGUCAGAGGUGAAAUUCUUGGAUUUAUUGAAGACUAACUACUGCGAAAGCAUUUGCCAAGGAUGUUUUCAUUAAUCAAGAACGAAAGUUAGGGGAUCGAAGACGAUCAGAUACCGUCGUAGUCUUAACCAUAGACUAUGCCGACUAGGGAUCGGAUGAUGUUAAUUUUUUAAUGACUCA